AUCUAGUUAACGAGUCCCAAAUAGGACUAAACGCGCGUCCUGGAU
RNAcentral lists this non-coding RNA (45 nucleotides) under Schistosoma curassoni. The record is from RNAcentral. Lineage: Eukaryota; Metazoa; Platyhelminthes; Trematoda; Strigeidida; Schistosomatidae.